CAGCCGCCACGGUAAUACGAAGGGUGCAAGCGUUAAUCGGAAUUACUGGGCGUAAAGCGUGCGUAGGCGGUUUGUUAAGUCUGUUGUGAAAUCCCCGGGCUCAACCUGGGAAUGGCAAUGGAUACUGGCAAGCUAGAGUGUGUCAGAGGAUGGUGGAAUUCCCGGUGUAGCGGUGAAAUGCGUAGAGAUCGGGAGGAACAUCAGUGGCGAAGGCGGCCAUCUGGGACAACACUGACGCUGAGGCACGAAAGCGUGGGGAGCAAACAGGAUUAGAUACCCCAUAGUCCCUGUCUCUUAUACC
This 301-nucleotide ribosomal RNA is filed under the name uncultured bacterium. RNAcentral's name for it is "partial 16S ribosomal RNA". It matches the Rfam family "Bacterial small subunit ribosomal RNA", at positions 509 to 808 of the family's 1533-position model. The record is from RNAcentral.